This 1407-nucleotide ribosomal RNA is filed under the name uncultured Rhizaria. Its description in RNAcentral is "SSU rRNA". It matches the Rfam family "Eukaryotic small subunit ribosomal RNA", at positions 384 to 1804 of the family's 1831-position model. The record is from RNAcentral.
CGGAGAGGGUGCAUGAGAAACGGCUACCACUUCUAAGGAAGGCAGCAGGCGCGCAAAUUACCCAAUCCUGACUCAGGGAGGUAGUGACAAGGAAUAACAAUAAACCGGCUUAUGCCGGUUUAAUUGGAAUGAGUACAAUUUAAACAUCUUAACGAGGGACAAUUGGAGGGCAAGUCUGGUGCCAGCAGCCGCGGUAAUUCCAGCUCCAAUAGCGUAUACUAAAGUUGUUGCAGUUAAAAAGCUCGUAGUUGGAUUUCUGCGGGGACGGAGCGGCCGUACGCAACUUGCGUCUCGAGCUAGCGCUUUCCCCGCAUCCUGCCGCGAACCGUGCUACCAUUAGCUUGGUGGCGCUGGGGAUCGGCUCGAUUACUUUGAGAAAAAUAGAGUGUUCAAAGCAGGCCACACGCCUUGAAUAAGUUAGCAUGGAAUAAUGACUAAGGACUUUGGUUCUUUUCGUUGGUGUUCGGGACUGAAGUAAUGAUUGAUAGGGACAGUUGGGGCGGUCUGUAUUCCAAGGCGAGAGGUGAAAUUCUUAGACCUUCGGAAGACAAACAGCUGCGAAGGCGUUCCGCAAGGAUGUUCCCUUUGAUCAAGAACGAAAGUUGGGGGAUCGAAGACGAUCAGAUACCGUCGUAGUCUCAACUAUAAACUAUAUCAGCUAGGGAUCGGCCAACGUUUAAUUAUUCGACUUGGUCGGCACCUUAUGAGAAAUCAAAGCAUCUGGGUUCCGGGGGGAGUAUGGUCGCAAGGCUGAAACUUAAAGGAAUUGACGGAAGGGCACCACCAGGCGUGGAGCCUAUAGCUUAAUUUGACUCAACACGGGAAAACUUACCAGGUCCAGACAUAGGAAGGAUUGACAGAUUGAUAGCUCUUUCUUGAUUCUGUGGGUGGUGGUGCAUGGCCGUUUUUAGUCGGUGAAGUGAUUUGUCUGCUUAAUUGCGUUAACGGACGAGACCCCAGCCUGCUAAAUAGCGCGGCCGAGCUUUGCUCGGUGCGAGCUUCUUAGAGGGACCAUGAUGCGCGAUAGCACAAGGAAGUUUGGGGCAACAACAGGUCUAUGAUGCCCUUAGAUGUUCUGGGCCGCACACGGGCUACACUGGCGCCUGCAACGAGCAUAUCAGCUGGCCCGAGAGGGUCUUGGCUAAUCUUUGGAACCGGCGCCGUGCUUGGGAUUGACCAUUGCAAUUGUUGGUCAUGCAACGAGGAAUGCCUUGUAAACGCGAGUCAUCAGCUCGCAUUGAAUACGUCCCUGCCCUUUGUACACACCACCCGUCGCUCCUACCGAUGAAUGUUCCGAUGAGAUUUUCGGAGAGCGCCGGAGAACGGGGCUCUGCCCUGCAGAACUGGAGGCUCAAAGUCACUUAAAUCUGAACAUUUCGAGGAAAGAGAAGUCGUAACAAGGUAACC